This 358-nucleotide long non-coding RNA is filed under the name Homo sapiens (human). RNAcentral's name for it is "non-protein coding lnc-NAALADL2-1:4". Lineage: Eukaryota; Metazoa; Chordata; Mammalia; Primates; Hominidae. The record is from RNAcentral.
GGAUUCAGGUGAUGGAGGUGUUUUAUGAGCACACACAAAACAAGUGAUACACGUUUUUGUCUCCACUUAAGAUGAAAGGAAUUUUCUUCUUUGACCACAGUGUUUCACACAAGAUUGGUAAGAUCCACUGGACUCUUAUUUCAUUUGGAAUUACAAAAUCCUUUGCAGAGUUACUUCUUCCUCUGAAGUCUUGAAACACUCCAAGUCAUCCUUGAGGGUUGAAAUCCACUUCUUCAAAACUCCUGUUAAUAUUGGAAAUGAGCAUUGACUAUUAGGCACCUGGAUGAAGACUGGGUCCAGAUUGUCAGUCUCCUGUAACCUGCAGAAGCCCUCCAGUUGCACUAGGAACAUUCAAUUG